RNAcentral lists this ribosomal RNA (252 nucleotides) under uncultured bacterium. Its description in RNAcentral is "partial 16S ribosomal RNA". It matches the Rfam family "Bacterial small subunit ribosomal RNA", at positions 525 to 776 of the family's 1533-position model. The record is from RNAcentral.
ACGGAGGGUGCAAGCGUUAUCCGGAUUUAUUGGGUUUAAAGGGUGCGCAGGCGGACCUGUCAGUCAGUGGUGAAAACCCGGGGCUCAACUCCGGAACUGCCAUUGAUACUGCAGGUCUUGAAUUCGGUUGAAGUGGGCGGAAUGUGUCAUGUAGCGGUGAAAUGCAUAGAUAUGACACAGAACACCGAUCGCGAAGGCAGCUCACUAAGCCGACAUUGACGCUCAUGCACGAAAGCGUGGGGAGCGAACAGG